GUCGAGCGGAUGAAGGGAGCUUGCUCCCUGAUUCAGCGGCGGACGGGUGAGUAAUGCCUAGGAAUCUGCCUGGUAGUGGGGGACAACGUCUCGAAAGGGACGCUAAUACCGCAUACGUCCUACGGGAGAAAGUGGGGGAUCUUCGGACCUCACGCUAUCAGAUGAGCCUAGGUCGGAUUAGCUAGUUGGUGAGGUAAUGGCUCACCAAGGCGACGAUCCGUAACUGGUCUGAGAGGAUGAUCAGUCACACUGGAACUGAGACACGGUCCAGACUCCUACGGGAGGCAGCAGUGGGGAAUAUUGGACAAUGGGCGAAAGCCUGAUCCAGCCAUGCCGCGUGUGUGAAGAAGGUCUUCGGAUUGUAAAGCACUUUAAGUUGGGAGGAAGGGCAGUAAAUUAAUACUUUGCUGUUUUGACGUUACCGACAGAAUAAGCACCGGCUAACUCUGUGCCAGCAGCCGCGGUAAUACAGAGGGUGCAAGCGUUAAUCGGAAUUACUGGGCGUAAAGCGCGCGUAGGUGGUUUGUUAAGUUGAAUGUGAAAUCCCCGGGCUCAACCUGGGAACUGCAU
RNAcentral lists this ribosomal RNA (570 nucleotides) under bacterium 88-L049659-122-016-H11. RNAcentral describes it as "bacterial SSU rRNA". It matches the Rfam family "Bacterial small subunit ribosomal RNA", at positions 61 to 626 of the family's 1533-position model. The record is from RNAcentral.